AAUUCAAAAUUCUAAUUUCUCGUUAGUUUAAAAUUUUAAUUUUAAUAUUAUUUUUGAAUUUAAAUUUAAAAUUUUGAAUUUUUAUUUUUAGGGACUAAAAUGAAAAAUGUGCAAAGUUUAGGGAUCUAAAUUGAAAUGCAAAAGGUUGCCAAAUAGAUGCUAACGUCGCAAUUCCGUUAAUUUUAAUAGUUUUUUUAACGGUUGGGACUUAAUUGUAAAAAAUCAAGAGGUUAGGGACUCUUGCAAAAAAUAAAGGUUGGGGACUCAAGUAAAAAUUGGUGCGAAGGUUGGGGACUACCGGUGUAACUAACCCUAUUUUUUAGGGGUAUUUUAAAGAAAUAUAUAAAUUAUUCUUGAGUCGGAUUCGAGGUGGAUUAUGGCAGGGCGGAUUCGGGCGGAUAAAAAAUUUUCUGUUUCUUGCCCCGAAUCCGCCUUGGAUCAUAAAAAUUGUCCCGUUUCCUGCCCCAAAUCCAUUUAUUUCCUCAUGUUUACUGCCCAUUUGGGGCAAAUCGAAACAAGAGCUCCACCAACCCGGAUCCAUUUGCAUCCCUAAUUAGCUCCUGAUCGUGUUCAACACUGUAGCUUGAUUAGAAAUCAAAUACAUUUGAAAAGUAAAAGACAUUAAUAACAAAGAAUAGAUAGGAAAAAAUUAAUCUGCAGCACAUCACAACAAUUAACAAGUAAACACAACAAUGUAAAAUCCAUUACUAUAUAACACAUUGUCCAAAUAAAAACACAUUACAACACAACAAUUUAAAAUGCAUUUUAAAAUUAAAAAAUUAACAACAAAGAGUAGGCAGAAAGAAACAAAUAUACAGCAAAUCGCAACAUAAUAAUUCAAAAUCCAUCAAAAUUUAACACAUUGCCUAAAUAAAAGUUACAACACAAUAAAAUGUAACACAUUCUAAUUUAACACAAUAAAAAUUAGGAUUUAAUGUCUUGCACAAUAUAUUGAACUAUGUGUGCUCAACCUUCGUAAAUAAAUAUUCAUGAACUAUAAUCAUCUUUGCCAUUAUUUUUCAAAUUUUACAGGUGUCAUAAUAUGCAGUAGGGCUAACGUAGACAUGUGGAAAUUCUACCUUAUUAUCUAGAGCUUCACUUGGUUGUAUAAUUGAUUAAAACUUAAUCUGUAUGCCCAUUUUUCAAGUACAAACACUCAUUCAUAUGCCCUUUUAGUUGUGUGGUGGUGCCCAUCUUUUGGUUUUGAAUACUUCUUUUUAUAACAUUUGCAACUGAUCUUUUUCACUAAGACUUUUUGCUCAAGAACUUCUAUUUCUUCAAAACAUCCCCAAACCUCGGAAAAAAAAAUAUGAUUUCUCUUUCCUUCUAGUUCAUUUACACUCUGAUCUUUUUCACUAAGGCUUUUUGCUCAAGAACUUCUUGUAAGGACUGAGAAUUUGGCAGUGUAGCUAAACUCUCUGUUGAUUUUGUGUAUAUUUUAAUUACAAAAGCACUCGUCAGGUUUCGGAAAAAAACAAGUUAGAAUGGAGAUUUUAUGCGAUCUUUACUUUUCACUUAAAGUGAAU
Molecule: long non-coding RNA, 1526 nt
Filed under: Ananas comosus (pineapple)
Lineage: Eukaryota; Viridiplantae; Streptophyta; Magnoliopsida; Poales; Bromeliaceae
Description: long non-coding RNA (ACOM_LNC014908)
Source: RNAcentral